GACACCAUGACUGAGAGGACUAAGGUGCUGGAUUGCUAAUCCAGUGGGGUUUCCCUAUGCAGGUUUGAAUCCUGCUGGGGUUG
This 83-nucleotide transfer RNA is filed under the name Acanthamoeba castellanii str. Neff. It matches the Rfam family "tRNA". From Rfam's summary of the family: Transfer RNA (tRNA) molecules are approximately 80 nucleotides in length. Their secondary structure includes four short double-helical elements and three loops (D, anti-codon, and T loops). Lineage: Eukaryota; Discosea; Longamoebia; Acanthamoebidae. The record is from Rfam by way of RNAcentral.